AAGGGCUAAACACGUUCCUGGAAGCAUGGGUGGAUGUUGUGCACGUUUCUUUUUUUUAUCUAUGGGUUGAAUGAAUUAUUUUUUUCCUUUCCAUUUUGUUCAUGCUGUAGCGUUUUUUUUAGUAUCUCAUGGUAUUCACGGUGCUUCAAUGAUGGAAGGCUGGUUUCAUUUUCUUAUUAAAUGAAGAAGAUUUCUUUUCCUUCUUGAAUUUGGGGUACAUGGGGUAAAGGAAAGGAGUCGCCACUCUUCAUUUUUUUUUAGCACAUUACUGUGAAUGUUCUAGUGAAUGUUAAAAGCACGGCGUCAUUUCAUUUUUCUUCAUAUAGCUGCCACGGUUUGAUGCUGCAAAUUGGAGGCAUGUGUUUUUCAAAAAGAGAACAGAAAGAAAUGUCAAGGUUCAUGAUGCAAGGGUAGAAAAAAAUGUUGAUUUCAUUAGAAAGAAGCUUCAUGGUGAUGGAGUUCAUUACAUUUCUUUUAGAAAGCAAGUUUCUUGAAUAUUGGGUGGCGAGCACACGGUGACGUCCAUGAUAGAAAAGUUCCAAAGGUUUAUUUUCUUUUUUUUAUUUUUUUAUUUUUUUUAUUUUUUAUUUAUUUUUUAUUUUCUUUUUUUAGUGACUUAUCUUUAAUUUUUAUUUUAAUUUUAGUCUUCACUUUAAUGUUUUUAACUAAGCUAGUUAGGUUUAAUUUGCGUGUUUUAAUUUAGUCUUAUUGCAUUCACAAAACACUUUCAAACCCCCCCACUGUGUAUGUGACCUAAUUUUCUGAAUCGCAAUUGGUCCUUGAGAGACGACCUAGGAGUCACUUCCUAGUCUAUACUGCAUUCCUACUUCGCAAUUGGUCCUUAUUGCAUUCCGUUUUGUGUGUCGUGUCAUGUGUGUUGCAUUUAGAUAGCUUUAGUUGCAUAUUUUCAUUCCAUUCUUCUUUUCCCCCCUUUUCU
RNAcentral lists this long non-coding RNA (937 nucleotides) under Vigna radiata. Its description in RNAcentral is "long non-coding RNA (VRAD_LNC015703)". The record is from RNAcentral. Lineage: Eukaryota; Viridiplantae; Streptophyta; Magnoliopsida; Fabales; Fabaceae.